RNAcentral lists this ribosomal RNA (1044 nucleotides) under Aspergillus sp. RNAcentral describes it as "SSU rRNA". It matches the Rfam family "Eukaryotic small subunit ribosomal RNA", at positions 64 to 1118 of the family's 1831-position model. The record is from RNAcentral. Lineage: Eukaryota; Fungi; Ascomycota; Eurotiomycetes; Eurotiales; Aspergillaceae.
UAUAAGCAAUUUAUACGGUGAAACUGCGAAUGGCUCAUUAAAUCAGUUAUCGUUUAUUUGAUAGUACCUUACUACAUGGAUACCUGUGGUAAUUCUAGAGCUAAUACAUGCUAAAAACCUCGACUUCGGAAGGGGUGUAUUUAUUAGAUAAAAAACCAAUGCCCUUCGGGGCUCCUUGGUGAAUCAUAAUAACUUAACGAAUCGCAUGGCCUUGCGCCGGCGAUGGUUCAUUCAAAUUUCUGCCCUAUCAACUUUCGAUGGUAGGAUAGUGGCCUACCAUGGUGGCAACGGGUAACGGGGAAUUAGGGUUCGAUUCCGGAGAGGGAGCCUGAGAAACGGCUACCACAUCCAAGGAAGGCAGCAGGCGCGCAAAUUACCCAAUCCCGACACGGGGAGGUAGUGACAAUAAAUACUGAUACGGGGCUCUUUUGGGUCUCGUAAUUGGAAUGAGUACAAUUUAAAUCCCUUAACGAGGAACAAUUGGAGGGCAAGUCUGGUGCCAGCAGCCGCGGUAAUUCCAGCUCCAAUAGCGUAUAUUAAAGUUGUUGCAGUUAAAAAGCUCGUAGUUGAACCUUGGGUCUGGCUGGCCGGUCCGCCUCACCGCGAGUACUGGUCCGGCUGGACCUUUCCUUCUGGGGAACCCCAUGGCCUUCACUGGCUGUGGGGGGAACCAGGACUUUUACUGUGAAAAAAUUAGAGUGUUCAAAGCAGGCCUUUGCUCGAAUACAUUAGCAUGGAAUAAUAGAAUAGGACGUGCGGUUCUAUUUUGUUGGUUUCUAGGACCGCCGUAAUGAUUAAUAGGGAUAGUCGGGGGCGUCAGUAUUCAGCUGUCAGAGGUGAAAUUCUUGGAUUUGCUGAAGACUAACUACUGCGAAAGCAUUCGCCAAGGAUGUUUUCAUUAAUCAGGGAACGAAAGUUAGGGGAUCGAAGACGAUCAGAUACCGUCGUAGUCUUAACCAUAAACUAUGCCGACUAGGGAUCGGGCGGUGUUCUAUGAUGACCCGCUCGGCACCUUACGAGAAAUCAAAGUUUUUGGGUUCUGGG